CUGUGGCUGGGGGUGAAAGGCCAAUCAAACCGGGAGAUAGCUGGUUCUCCCCGAAAGCUAUUUAGGUAGCGCCUCGUGAAUUCAUCUCCGGGGGUAGAGCACUGUUUCGGCUAGGGGGCCAUCCCGGCUUACCAACCCGAUGCAAACUGCGAAUACCGGAGAAUGUUAUCACGGGAGACACACGGCGGGUGCUAACGUCCGUCGUGAAGAGGGAAACAACCCAGACCGCCAGCUAAGGUCCCAAAGUCAUGGUUAAGUGGGAAACGAUGUGGGAAGGCCCAGACAGCCAGGAUGUUGGCUUAGAAGCAGCCAUCAUUUAAAGAAAGCGUAAUAGCUCACUGGUCGAGUCGGCCUGCGCGGAAGAUGUAACGGGGCUAAACCAUGCACCGAAGCUGCGGCAGCGA
RNAcentral lists this ribosomal RNA (404 nucleotides) under Salmonella enterica. RNAcentral describes it as "partial 23S ribosomal RNA". It matches the Rfam family "Bacterial large subunit ribosomal RNA", at positions 809 to 1211 of the family's 2925-position model. The record is from RNAcentral. RNAcentral also lists the same sequence under 1 other name. Lineage: Bacteria; Pseudomonadati; Pseudomonadota; Gammaproteobacteria; Enterobacterales; Enterobacteriaceae.